This is a long non-coding RNA of Homo sapiens (human), 2167 nucleotides long. Ensembl annotates it as family with sequence similarity 66 member C. Its record names the gene FAM66C. NCBI's taxonomy places the organism in Eukaryota, Metazoa, Chordata, Mammalia, Primates, Hominidae. The record is from Ensembl.
AUGCGCGGUCUGCCUCCCGCGGCGGGCCGGGUCUCCAGGGAGGACCUGAGUUUUUCUUCACCCAUGGUCAGGGAGGCGCCAUCGCCCUGGCUUUGGGGCUGGGGCCUCCGGGGAGGUUCCGGUAGGGGCGUUGGAGAGGCCGCUCUUUUUGCAAGGCCCGAGAUGGCGGGCCCUGCGCAGGCCGCCCUAUUCCGCGCCCUCAGGGCGUCAGUAUCCGCCUGAGGCCGGAUACCCACUCUGGGCUCGGAUACCCGCGCUGGGCCCGGAGCAUCCUCGGCGCUGCCCUCCCAGAGCCCCGCAGAGGCUGAGGUGGCGCGGGGGCGGCCCCGGCUCCGCGAGAAGAGGCGGCAGCGAGGGCUGGAGGACCCGGGCUACGGGGCUCCGGGGCGUCUGGCCUGGGUGGGACUGAGCCCAUCCAGGGACUGGGACUCCGGGGUUCUGGUGUAGGUGGAUCCCGGGCAGGCUCAGGACCAAGACCCUCUCCUUCCACCAAGGAGCGCCCAGAGGCCGGCGGGAGCUCCAGGUUCACCUCCUCCUCCUCCAGGGACGACUUGAGAAGGCAUCCUGACCCUAUGCAGAAAUGCAGAAACACUUCCAUGAGCUAAACAACCUAUGUGAAGGCCUGAAAGCCAAAGCAAGAUCCUCUUAUUACAAAGCUGUCCAACAAAAAGUUUUCCAAGUAACACUGGAGGUCCAUCACUCACUCUUCCUGGUCUGGAAAUGCCAGAAAUGUCCUCCUUGGUCCUUCUGAGAGUCAAGAUCUUUUCAAAGUCACCUCAGGAGCCACAGAACCACUCCAUCCUACCUGAAAUUGCAGGAUGACUCUUCUUUUGACCAGAGUCUCAAAAAUAUAUUCGUUGAUAAUUUUGAUUCCUGGGAGCCGCCAUUGCUUGCAAAAGAUGUGCCAGGGACUAGACAUUUUCUGUCUCCUCACUUGUCCGGGGAAGACUGAAGUUUUACUGAAACACAGAGAUGGGAAUCUGACCCUCUGAGCAGCCUCAGGAUUUUCUAAGUCUUCCAAGCAGAGUGGAAAUACUGGAAAUCCCACUUCCAGCUGGAUGUCUGGAUGAACUCCUGAAAGCUGCUGAGUGUCCUGCAGCAGGUGAGCUGUGGCCAGAGCCCAAGGAUGAAGGGGACUCCCUCACUCUGUGACUGUGAAGAGGAAGCCUGAGGUGUAGCAGGCCCAGGCCCCAGAAGUAUGGAAAAAAUGAGGCCAUUUCCAAUCCAGAGGAAGACCUUCUAGAAGAAGUGAUGGGUGGGAGAGUGCUGACAUACUAUGCAAAGCUACUAUUUGGAGUUGGACACGAGUGCAUGUGACCUUGUGCCACAGCGGGAAUGUGAGCUGGAUGACAAAUGGAGAUUUGGACUUGUGAUAAUUGGCCUCUGUGUCAUUGUGUGGAAGACUGACUGGUCCCUUUAUUUCCUGUAGCUUGACUACCACACAAAUUAAUCCACUCAAAUGUUGGCAAGUGGAGCAGAGUCCCAGGACAGGUACAGAAACACCCCCAGUUCAAGGAUCUUCACACCUGGAUUUAGGCCUACACCUGCAACUACCCCAGGCCAGUUAUCCAGGCAGUGACUUUCUGUACAGCUACAGUCACCUCUGGACACCUGCGGAGACUUUAAAAAUUUCCAGAAGGUCAGGAAUUUUUGGAGACCUUUCUUAUGGCUACGUUGCCUGCAAAGGUGAAUCAAUAAGCUUCUGAACUGACUUAGAAAAUGUUGCAGAGACUCUUGUGAACAGAUAGACCCUCUCCUGCCACUCCAGAUAGACGUAUCCGGGUCACACACACCUGAUUUAACAACAUCUCAUUAUCUCAGAUAUAAUACGUAAGUUUGGAGGUGGAUGCUUUCAGCCAUUAAGUUCAAAAGUACUGCCACAAGGGCCAGGCAUGGUGGCUCACACCUGUAAUCCCAACCCUUUGGGAGGUCAAAGCAAGCAGAUCACGAGAUCAGGAAACUGAGACCAUCCUAGCCAACAUGGUGAAAUCCCAUCUGUACUAAAAGUACAAAAAUUAGCUGAGUGUGGUAGUAUGUGCCUGUAGUCCCAGCUACUUGGGAGGCUGAGGCAGGAGGAUUGCUUGAACCCGGGAGGCAGAGGUUGCAGUGAGUCGAGAUUGCGCCAUUGCAGCGCAGCCUGGUUACAGAGUGAGACUCCGUCUCCCAG